This 609-nucleotide ribosomal RNA is filed under the name uncultured bacterium. RNAcentral's name for it is "bacterial SSU rRNA". It matches the Rfam family "Bacterial small subunit ribosomal RNA", at positions 238 to 862 of the family's 1533-position model. The record is from RNAcentral.
CUAUCAGGUAGUUGGUGGGGUAACGGCCUACCAAGCCGAUGAUCCGUAGGGGGCGUGAGAGCGUGGCCCCCCACACUGGCACUGAGACACGGGCCAGACUCCUACGGGAGGCAGCAGUGAGGAAUAUUGCACAAUGGGCGCAAGCCUGAUGCAGCAACGCCGCGUGAGGGACGAAGGCCUUCGGGUUGUAAACCUCUUUUCUGAGGGACGAGGAAGGACGGUACCUCAGGAAUAAGUCUCGGCUAACUACGUGCCAGCAGCCGCGGUAAAACGUAGGAGGCGAGCGUUAUCCGGAUUUACUGGGCGUAAAGCGCGCGCAGGUGGCUUCGUGAGUCGGACAUGAAAGCUCCUGGCUUAACUGGGAGAGGCUGUUCGAUACUGCGGGGCUUGAGGUUGGGAGAGGGACGCGGAAUUCCCGGUGUAGUGGUGGAAUGCGUAGAUAUCGGGAGGAACACCAGUGGCGCAAGCGGCGUCCUGGCCCACACCUGACGCUGAGGUGCGAAAGCGUGGGUAGCAAACAGGAUUAGAUACCCCGGUAGUCCACGCCGUAAACGAUGACAACUAGGUGUUGGGUGUCCAAGGAUGCUCAGUACCGCAGCAAACGCGAUA